This is a non-coding RNA of Schizosaccharomyces pombe (fission yeast), 314 nucleotides long. NCBI's taxonomy places the organism in Eukaryota, Fungi, Ascomycota, Schizosaccharomycetes, Schizosaccharomycetales, Schizosaccharomycetaceae. The record is from the annotation of a GenBank genome assembly.
UAAUAAAUCUUCUAAUGUUUGAUAAAUGACACCAUCGGCACUAAUUGCUUCAGCAACCUCAUCCUCAGUUUUUCCAUAAGCAAUGAGAUCCUUACAAUCAGCGAGAUCAAUACCGUAGACAUGAGGAUGAGUGAUCAUAGGAGCGCAACUAGCCAAAUAGACAUUCUUUGCACCCGACUCCCUAGCCAUUUGAACGAUCUCACGAGAGGUGGUACCACGAACAAUACUGUCAUCCACAAUUAAAACAUUCUUAUCAAAAAACUCUUGAGGUUGAACAUUUAAUUUACGACGAACCGAUUUACGACGAAUCUGUU